CAUGCNAGUCGAACGGUANCACAGAGAGCUUGCUCUCGGGUGACGAGUGGCGGACGGGUGAGUAAUGUCUGGGAAACUGCCCGAUGGAGGGGGAUAACUACUGGAAACGGUAGCUAAUACCGCAUAACGUCUUCGGACCAAAGUGGGGGACCUUCGGGCCUCACACCAUUGGAUGUGCCCAGAUGGGAUUAGCUAGUAGGUGGGGUAAUGGCUCACCUAGGCGACGAUCCCUAGCUGGUCUGAGAGGAUGACCAGCCACACUGGAACUGAGACACGGUCCAGACUCCUACGGGAGGCAGCAGUGGGGNAUAUUGCACAAUGGGNGCAAGCCUGAUGCAGCCAUGCCGCGUGUAUGAAGAAGGCCUUCGGGUUGUAAAGUACUUUCAGCGGGGAGGAAGGCGGUGGAGUUAAUAGCUUCAUCGAUUGACGUUACCCGCAGAAGAAGCACCGGCUAACUCCGUGCCAGCAGCCGCGGUAAUACGGAGGGUGCAAGCGUUAAUCGGAAUUACUGGGCGUAAAGCGCACGCAGGCGGUCUGUCAAGUCGGAUGUGAAAUCCCCGGGCUUAACCUGGGAACUGCAUUCGAAACUGGCAGGCUAGAGUCUUGUAGAGGGGGGUAGAAUUCCAGGUGUAGCGGUGAAAUGCGUAGAGAUCUGGAGGAAUACCGGUGGCGAAGGCGGCCCCCUGGACAAAGACUGACGCUCAGGUGCGAAAGCGUGGGAGCAAACAGGAUUAGAUACCCUGGUAGUCCACGCCGUAAACGAUGUCGACUUGGAGGUUGUGCCCUUGAGGCGUGGCUUCCGGAGCUAACGCGUUAAGUCGACCGCCUGGGGAGUACGGCCGCAAGGUUAAAACUCAAAUGAAUUGACGGGGGCCCGCACAAGCGGUGGAGCAUGUGGUUUAAUUGGAUGCAACGCGAAGAACCUUACCUACUCUUGACAUCCAGCGAAUUCGGUAGAGAUACCUUAGUGCCUUCGGGAACGCUGAGACAGGUGCUGCAUGGCUGUCGUCAGCUCGUGUUGUGAAAUGUUGGGUUAAGUCCCGCAACGAGCGCAACCCUUAUCCUUUGUUGCCAGCGGUCCGGCCGGGAACUCAAAGGAGACUGCCAGUGAUAAACUGGAGGAAGGUGGGGAUGACGUCAAGUCAUCAUGGCCCUUACGAGUAGGGCUACACACGUGCUACAAUGGCGCAUACAAAGAGAAGCGACCUCGCGAGAGCAAGCGGACCUCAUAAAGUGCGUCGUAGUCCGGAUUGGAGUCUGCAACUCGACUCCAUGAAGUCGGAAUCGCUAGUAAUCGUAGAUCAGAAUGCUACGGUGAAUACGUUCCCGGGCCUUGUACACACCGCCCGUCACACCAUGGGAGUGGGUUGCAAAAGAAGUAGGUAGCUUAACCUUCGGGAGGGCGCUUACCAC
This 1413-nucleotide ribosomal RNA is filed under the name Enterobacter sp. NT N71. Its description in RNAcentral is "16S ribosomal RNA". It matches the Rfam family "Bacterial small subunit ribosomal RNA". Lineage: Bacteria; Pseudomonadati; Pseudomonadota; Gammaproteobacteria; Enterobacterales; Enterobacteriaceae. The record is from RNAcentral.